GACGGAGGGUGCAAGCGUUGCUCGGAAUCAUUGGGCGUAAAGGGUGCGUAGGCGGCUUCUUAAGUCUGGCGUGAAAGCCCAGGGCUUAGCCUUGGAAGUGCGCCAGAAACUGGGAGGCUAGAGUGCCGGAGGGGAGAGUGGAAUUCCUGAUGUAGCGGUGAAAUGCGCAGAUAUCGGGAAGAACACCCGUGGCGAAGGCGGUUCUCUGGGACGGUACUGACGCUGAGACGCGAAAGCGUGGGGAGCGAACAGG
RNAcentral lists this ribosomal RNA (253 nucleotides) under uncultured bacterium. RNAcentral describes it as "partial 16S ribosomal RNA". It matches the Rfam family "Bacterial small subunit ribosomal RNA", at positions 524 to 776 of the family's 1533-position model. The record is from RNAcentral.